UGGGGAAUAUUGCACAAUGGGCGCAAGCCUGAUGCAGCGAUGCCGCGUGAGGGAAGAAGGUUUUCGGAUUGUAAACCUCUGUCAUCAGGGACGAAAAAGGACGGUACCUGAGAAGGAAGCUCCGGCUAACUACGUGCCAGCAGCCGCGGUAAUACGUAGGUGGCAAGCGUUGUCCGGAUUUACUGGGUGUAAAGGGCGUGUAGGCGGGAGAGCAAGUCAGAAGUGAAAUCUAUGGGCUUAACCCAUAAACUGCUUUUGAAACUGUUCUUCUUGAGUAUCGGAGAGGCGGGCGGAAUUCCUAGUGUAGCGGUGAAAUGCGUAGAUAUUAGGAGGAACACCAGUGGCG
This 346-nucleotide ribosomal RNA is filed under the name uncultured Ruminococcus sp. Its description in RNAcentral is "bacterial SSU rRNA". It matches the Rfam family "Bacterial small subunit ribosomal RNA", at positions 355 to 717 of the family's 1533-position model. The record is from RNAcentral. Lineage: Bacteria; Bacillati; Bacillota; Clostridia; Eubacteriales; Oscillospiraceae.